UUCUUUUCUAGCCCAUCAUAACUUGUUUUCAAAACAUCUUGAAUUUUCUUAAGAGAUUUGCCUUUUAAUUUUUCCAAUUCACUUUCCCAUUCUUUUAUCGUCCUGCGAAAUAAAUGAAAUCCCAAAACUUUAAGAGCUAGUGGAUUGCCUCUAGCAUAGAUUGUCACCUUCUUUGAUAGCUCCAAAUAUUUUUCCUUAGGAAGAUUUUGGUUGAAGGCAUGCAAGCUAAAGAGU
Molecule: unclassified non-coding RNA, 234 nt
Filed under: Hevea brasiliensis (rubber tree)
Lineage: Eukaryota; Viridiplantae; Streptophyta; Magnoliopsida; Malpighiales; Euphorbiaceae
Source: RNAcentral